RNAcentral lists this long non-coding RNA (910 nucleotides) under Marmota monax (woodchuck). Lineage: Eukaryota; Metazoa; Chordata; Mammalia; Rodentia; Sciuridae. The record is from RNAcentral.
UGAUUUUCUGAGGAGAGUCCAGCCAUGUGCUGCCUCAAGAAUGAAGUGCAGACAGAGUCACGGCCUCUUGCUUGUGGCUGGGAGCAGCUGAUGAACUUGAACCCAGCGGAGGGGAGCUGUGUUUCUUUAGGGAUGCUGUUCUGGGGGCGGUCAGAGACGCUGGGCCAGGGCUGCAGGUGACAUCCUUCCUGUGGUUGCUGGAGCGGCCGGCAGAGCCAGGUAAUGCCGGGAGCUGCUGGCAGGAUGAGGCUUCAGAUCACUCUCAGUGACGUCACGCGUAGAUAACGACAAACCUUUGAGAUUAUGAGAUCAUAACGUAGUGGCAAGGGAAGCCCACCGUGGUAUGAUGUGGGGGAUAAUAAUUAGUUCAUUUUAGCUUUUACCAGCCCACUGGCCUGGCCUGGCCCCUAAUUUAGAAGCCCAGGAGUGGCUACGGGCAAUCCAGGCAGGACUUGGGAGCCCCAGGCAAGGCAGUGCAUGGCAGAGCACCUUGAUGGCCUCUCUAUCUGAGUGGACAGCUCUCAAGAUCUGAGAGAGGGCAGCUCGGGCACCACAGGACUCAGCCUCCACCCAGCCACUUGGGGCUUUGCAGGAUUUGAGCCAAACUCCCUGUUCACACAGGGAAAGCAUGGCUGCCAGGGUCUUGUCUCAGUGAACUGCCCAGCACUCCAGGCACUGGCAUACCCGUGGAUGGGGCCAGCCCGCAGGAGACUUGGGAGGACUACAGCCUACAUCCGGGCUGCAACCUAGCUCCAGCUGGAGGGUGGCAGGGGAGUGGAGAGUGGGUGGGGGGUGGCCCUGGAAAGGAGGCUACCUGAAUAAAAGUGCCUGUCCCGUGCUCCUAGAGUCUGUGCUGUUAAGUAGAGGAUCUGGUGACCCUGGAGGGAGAGCAGAGAGAUAAUACGUAUAA